AGAGUUUGAUCAUGGCUCACCAACGAACGCUGGCGGCGUGCUUAACACAUGCAAGUCGAACGCGAAAGUUUCUUUCGGGAAACGAGUAGAGUGGCGCACGGGUGAGUAACGCGUAAAGUAAUCUACCCUGGUAUCUGGGAUAACUCAGCGAAAGCUGUGCUAAUACCGGAUACGCUGAUUUAUCAGGAAAGGUGGCCUCUUCAUGAAAGCUAUCUGUACCAGGAGGAGCUUGCGUACCAUUAGCUAGUUGGUAGUGGUAACGGCCUACCAAGGCGACGAUGUUAGCGGGUCUGAGAGGAUGAUCCGCCACACUGGAACUGAAACACGGACCAGACUCCUACGGGAGCGCAGCAGUGAGGAAUAUUGCGCAAUGGGGGAAACCCUGACGCAGCGACGCCGCGUGGAUGAUGAAGGCUUUCGGGUCGUAAAAUCCUGUCAGAUGGGAAGAAGUGCUAUUGUAUUAAUACUACUUUAGUUUGACGGUACCAUCAACGGAAGCACCGGUAACUCCGUGCCCAGCACGCCGCGGUAAUACGGAGGGUGCAAGCGUUGUACGGAAUUACUGGGCGU
This 570-nucleotide ribosomal RNA is filed under the name uncultured delta proteobacterium. RNAcentral's name for it is "bacterial SSU rRNA". It matches the Rfam family "Bacterial small subunit ribosomal RNA", at positions 8 to 561 of the family's 1533-position model. The record is from RNAcentral. Lineage: Bacteria; Deltaproteobacteria.